This 377-nucleotide ribosomal RNA is filed under the name uncultured bacterium. RNAcentral's name for it is "bacterial SSU rRNA". It matches the Rfam family "Bacterial small subunit ribosomal RNA", at positions 523 to 898 of the family's 1533-position model. The record is from RNAcentral.
AUACGUAGGUGGCAAGCGUUGUCCGGAAUUACUGGGUGUAAAGGGCGUGUAGGCGGGGAUGCAAGUCAGAUGUGAAAUUCCGGGGCUCAACUCCGGAGCUGCAUCUGAAACUGUAUCUCUUGAGUGUUGGAGAGGAAAGUGGAAUUCCUAGUGUAGCGGUGAAAUGCGUAGAGAUUAGGAGGAACACCAGUGGCGAAGGCGGCUUUCUGGACAAUAACUGACGCUGAGGCGCGAAAGCGUGGGGAGCAAACAGGAUUAGAUACCCUGGUAGUCCACGCCGUAAACGAUGGAUACUAGGUGUAGGAGGUAUCGACCCCUUCUGUGCUGGAGUUAACACAAUAAGUAUCCCACCUGGGGAGUACGGCCGCAAGGUUGAA